UCUCUAUGUCUGCCGAAAGCAAAAAGCUUCGGUAUUUCGCUGUGUGCGGUAAAAAUUUAUCAAUUUUCAUUUUCAGUUUCAUUCCGACUGUUUAGGGCGGUUCCGCAAGCAGGUUGCAAAGUAGUUAAAGGAUGUGUUAACAUUUCAGCCAAACUGUAAAAGAAUCCACAAAUCACAACCAACCAACAAAAAAAGUUACAAAAUUGUAAAAUUGAAUGCUUUAAAACAUAACGAGAAUAUUCAAGAAAACCAAAUUGGAAACAGAAAGUGUGAAAAAUUUACAGUUUUUGCCAAAAGAAAAAUUCCUUGCAUAGUGUCAAAAAAAAAAGGAAAAACCAAAAAAAUGUGAGCAAAAGCUUCAAAGUCUACUGCCAUAAACGGUAUGCUGAUUACAUGAGUGGUUGAAAACAUUUUGAGAAGCUAAAAAUCCAAAAAAAUUUGGUGUUCUUGGAAAAUAAAAUGAAAUAUACCUAAUUGAAAUUCAAUGUAGCCGAACAUUCCUUCUGGCUAAAGUGUGAUGCAUCAUAUUCAAUUUAACAUUUUUGUAUAGUGAAGCAAAAAAAGAAACCCCCCCAAAAAAAAAACACACAACUUUCUUGCAUUUGUGCCUUUGUUUUCGUGUGCAACGCAAAUAAGAAAGAUUCAAAUCAAAUAUACAAAAAUAUAGCAAACUAUUUGAACAUUAAAAAUUAGCUCUCAAAAGAAAAAAAUCGUUUUAAAAAAUUUAAACAAUUACUCGAAUUAAAUCAAAAAUAAAAAAAUUUAGAAACUAAAAACCUUUUACAGCAAAAACCUAACCAUGCAUCAACAAUAGCGACGAAUUUUCAACUUCAAUACAUGGACAUCCAUAACACUUAAGCUUUAAUCAAUUCCAACCAUCUGCAAUUGCAUGGGGCAACGAGAAGGUGAAGGCAACCUAAAACACUUCGCAUAGAGAAGAUAAUUCGUCCUUCUACUGCUGCUGC
Stomoxys calcitrans (stable fly) is the source of this 965-nucleotide long non-coding RNA. RefSeq lists it as uncharacterized. The record is from RefSeq and is a predicted model, not a curated record. Lineage: Eukaryota; Metazoa; Arthropoda; Insecta; Diptera; Muscidae. The transcript is spliced from 4 exons.